AAGGUGAUGCCUGCCCUGUGACUUAGUGUUUAACGGCCGCGGUAUCCUAACCGUGCAAAGGUAGCGCAAUCAAUUGUCUCAUAAAUCGGGACCAGUAUGAAUGGCUAAACGAGGUCUUAACUGUCUCUUACAGGCGAUCGGUGAAAUUGAUCUCCCUGUGCAAAAGCAGGGAUAACUACAUAAGACGAGAAGACCCUGUGGAGCUUAAAAAUCAGCAGCCACCCCUUCACACAUUCACACCCACUGGGUACACGCUCAUACAGGGAACUGGCCUGCAUUUUUCGGUUGGGGCGACCUUGGAGAAAAACAAAUCCUCCAAAAAUUAGACCACAACUCUAGACUGAGAGCGACCCCUCAACGUGCGAAUAGCACCCAGACCCAAUAUAAUUGAUCAAUGGACCAAGUUACCCCAGGGAUAACAGCGCAAUCUCCUCCGAGAGUCCGUAUCGACGGGGAGGUUUACGACCUCGAUGUUGGAUCAGGACAUCCUAGUGGUGCAGCCGCUACUAAGGGUUCG
Molecule: ribosomal RNA, 517 nt
Filed under: Corvus corone (carrion crow)
Lineage: Eukaryota; Metazoa; Chordata; Aves; Passeriformes; Corvidae
Description: partial 16S ribosomal RNA
Rfam family: Bacterial large subunit ribosomal RNA
Source: RNAcentral